Molecule: long non-coding RNA, 5316 nt
Filed under: Sus scrofa (pig)
Lineage: Eukaryota; Metazoa; Chordata; Mammalia; Artiodactyla; Suidae
Description: lncRNA (ENSSSCG00000055249.1)
Source: RNAcentral
GAAAAUUUGACUAUUAAUUAGGAGAUACAAUGGAGACGUGUGGGUUUGAGUUGAGUGUUUCAUUUUUGUUUUGUUUUCUUCUGCUUUAAAUCAGCUGUAACAUCAAAAAUGAAUGUGAUUUGCAAGAGAGGAAGGAGCAGUCAAUGUGUCCCUGUACACUGCAUGUAUUUAAUAAGCAAAGGCGGCUCUCAGCUGGUAGAGUAGUUAGGCCAGAGUGUGCGGCCUUAGAAGUAGCCUGGAGGUUGCAGCAACAUGGAGAUGAUGGUACCAAGUGAAGUAAAUCAGACCAAGAAAGACAAAUACGAUAUUACUUAUAUGUGGAAUCUUAAACAAAUGAUACAAAUGAACUUAUUUACAGAAAAGAAAUAGUCUCAUGAACAUAGAAAACAAAUUUAUGGUUACUAAAGGAGAAACGAGGGAGGGAUAAAUUAGGAGUUUGGGAUUAACAUAUACACACUGCUAUAUAUAAAAUAGAUAAACAAUAAGGACCUACUGUGUAGCACAGAGAACUACAUUCACUAUCUUGCAAUAACCCACAAUGGAAAAGAAUCUGAGAAAGAGUGUGUGUGUGUGUGUGUGUGUGUGUGUGUGUGUGUGUACUGAAUCACUUUGCUGUAUUCCUGAAACAUUGUAAAUUGUGUAUUUCAAUUUAAAAUUUUUAAUAAUAAUAAAAAAAGAAGUAACCAGGAGGUAGAUGAGGUGGGAGGGCAGGUGGGAUUAAGGUGUAAUGAAUACAAGGAAUGGGUAUAGGAUGUGUCACUGUUAAAAAGUAUAGUCUAGGCUGGUAGGAAAAAAACCAACAGUAACAACUCGAGUUAUUGUUGUUUUUUUUUUCCCCUCCUCUAAAGAGUGGUAGGAUGCAAAUGUCCUGAUAUGCCCAAGCCAGUCCCAGGUUGCUUCUGCUGUGGAUCAGUUAACACUGUUAAUUAUUUUUAGUGUCUCCUUUCAUCUUCAAGAGUGCCUGGGUUCGGACAAUAAAUUAUAUAGUCACUCUAAGGACCUAAAAUGAACAGAAAACCACAACUCUGUUUGUUUAACACAAACAUAGUGUUUAUAAAAGCUAAAUAAAACAUUAGUAAAUGUCAAUGCAAAUAAUAAAAUCAGAAAAUAGGAACAAAUUAGACUUGGUGUAAGUCAUAUCUUUACUUGGGGCAAGUUCUUCUGUUCUGUUAUUGCCUCAUGCAUUUUGGUGACUUUCUGAAGUUCAUAUUAUAUUUUUUUAAAAGUUGAUGAGGCACUGGAGCCUUGAUUUGUUUAGUUGGUAGUUGAUGAAGCUGGAUAUUUGCAUGAAUUUCCCUUGGCUCUGUCUUCUCAGAUGUAAUCAUUUUUAACUUAUCCCCAGGAACUAAGUAAGAACACGGCACCAUGGCCACAUUCUAGGUAAGUGCUCUGGCCCGGCCACAGCUCCUUUAAAUAGUGCAGAGCUGGAGUUCCCUUCAUGGCUUGGUGGUUAAUGAACCUGACGAGGAUCCAUGAGGAUGCAGGUUUGAUCCCUGGCCUUGCUCGGUGGGUUAAGGAUCCCACAUUGCUGUGGCUGUGGUGUAGAACCAAGAAUGCAGCUCUGAUUUGACCCCUAGUCUGAGAACUUCCAUAUGCUGUGGAUGUGGCCCUAAAAAGCAAAUAAAAUAAAAUAAAUUAAAUUAAAUUAAAAUAAAUAAAUAGUACAGAGCAGGGCAAGCCCUGCUCAAGGGUGGCUCACAAUCUAAACCCAAAACCCACUGACAUCUCUGAAUGCUUAUUGGUUAGAAAGACUAAAACAACAUAAACAACGUGCCAUGGGUACAUAAAAGUUGCUAAUAUCUUUUGACUAAUGGAAAAUACAAGGUGAGACCAGAGUUUCACAUUCAGAGAAUGUUGAGGGGUCCAGGAGGAAAGUGCCUUCGUUUUCAAUUACAUUCUCAUAUAUCCCCCCCGCUCCCCUUUUUCAGUGGCCACACCCAUGGCUUGUGGAAGUUCCUUGGCCAGGGACUGACUCAAAGGUACAGUUGUGAUCUGAUUGCAGCUGCAGCAACGCUGGAUCCAACGUGUGCCUCCACAGCGACCUGAGCUGCUGCAGUCAGGUUCUUAAACCACUGGGCUCCAGGUUCUUAACCCAGGAACUCCAUCCCUUAACUUUUAAACAUAUAAAAACAAAAUACUUUAUUCCUUGAAUAUUCUGAGGUUGUGCUUUCUAAAGUAUGGUUUAGGGGCAAAGUGGUGCCAGGAUUUCUGGGAGAAGUAGGAAGACAUUGGAAAAAAGCCACCAGAAUUUAGUUCCAAUGUUUCAACCCAGAAAGAAUCUUCCACUCUCUUUAGGAGAUUCCAAUUUCAUAAAGGUUUUUAAAAAGUAAAUAUUGUAGACGUUCCCAUUGUGGCUCAGUGGGUUAAGAACCCAACUAGUAUCCGUGAGGAUGCAGGUUUGAUCCCUGGCCUCCCUCAGUGGGUUAAGGGAUCUGGUGUUGCUGCGAGCUGUGGCGUAGGUUGCAGAUGUGGCUUGGGUUCCUGCAUUGCUGUGGCCGUGGCAUAGGCUGGCAGCUGUGGCUCUGAUUUGACCCCUAGCUUGGGAACUUCCACAUGCUGCAGAUGAGGCCCUAAAAAGAAAAAAGAAAAAAAAAAGUAAAUACUGUAGAUUAUGGUUUUCUAAUGUGUUUUUUUUUUUCUACACCAGCAGCAUAUGGAAGUUCCUAGGCCAGAGCAGCGACCCAAGCUGCUGCAGUGACAACGCUGGGUCCUUAAUAAACUGAGCCACUUGUAAACUCCUCCCAAUGUAAAUUUUAUCAAAGCAUAGCAUUCUGACAAAAGAGUGCAUGAAAUUUAAGUGAUCAGCUCACUUAAUUUUUCACAAAAUGAAUGCAGCCAUAUAACCAGCACUCCAUCAUGAAACAAAACAUCACCAGUCCCAGGGGGCCUCUCAUGGUCCUUCCAAUCACUAACUCUUUCUUCCAGAAGCCACAUCAAUUUUUUUUUGGCCAUGCCCAGGGUGUAUGGAAGUUCCCCAGCCAGGGAUUGAACCUGUGCCACAGCAGUGACAACACCUAAUCCUUAACCACUAGGCUACUAGGAAACUCCCACCACAUCGAUUUGGACCCCCAAUACCAUCGCUUAGUUUUGAAUAGAGGUUUAUUGAGGAACCAUUGAUUUGUCUUAUUCAUAUUUUAUCCCUAACACCUGGCACAGUGCCUAGUACAUAAUACUUGUUUAAUAAUGUUGGUUGAAUGAGUGAAAGAAAGCAGACUUUGAUAAGAUAGUGGAUCAAAUUAACAUAAUGAUCUGUAAGAGGGUUAAGUGGCAUUAAACUUGAGUGGGAACUGGGAUCAGGGGUGGCUGACUUGGAAACAAGGCGAAAACUCAAACUUUGAAUGGAAGAGUAUGCUUCAGUUUUAUCUUUUAACAAAUAUAAACAAUGUGAAAAAAAUCAAAUCCUCUUUAAGUUUUUCUUGGGCCUUAACCAACUCUGCUCACCUCAUAUCCACAGUAACUGGUGAAGCCAGCCUCCAGAGAGCUUGUUCCUCCUUCUUACUUGUAACUGGACCCAUGCAGCCAAGAAAUGACUAUUUUCAGGCCUUCUCCACCCCAACUCUGAGGCCCGAUCAGUCAGAAAACAAAAUCAGAGUCCCCCUAGGCCGAAGCAUGUGAUCUUUGGCCAGAGUGCUUCCCGCCCUAAUGAAUGAGGUAAUGAGGGGCCAAAUAAGGUUUCAUGUGUGUAUCGCCUCAGAAUUACAGUUUUAACUGUAUUUUCAAAAAGCUGGAAUUGAGAACCUAGCGCUGCCAAAUCACUGCUUAGUCAGAGAGAUCUGUCAGCUGGAGAGAUAACAAAUACAAGCAAAAGCCAUUUCGGGCUUUGAACUGCUGCUCUGAAAUGAUUACCAGGAAAAUACAAAUAAAUCAUGUCUUCUGAAGGACAGAUUCAUUACGGAACUUGUUAAGUUGGGGUUUUAAAUAUGUAAGAUACUUCAAACAUUGAAAGGGAGCAAAUCUGGAAAUGGGAACUAUUUCAGUUAGGGGAUGAUUUUUCUCCGAUGUGCCGCCCCUGCCCCCAGUGGAGAGAUGUCAUACUGUAUCACAGACAAACCUUCAAAGGCAAAACGCAGAGAUAAAGGCCAGCCUGGAGAAACACCCAAGUCCACCAAAUCCACUUCGCCCACAUUAAAUCUAGUCUUCAAAAACAGGAGUGUUGAAUCCAGAAACAGAUCUCAUUUGCCUGAAAAGGGGAAGCAGUUCUUUCUCUUUUAAAACUUUUUUUUUCCCAGGGUGAUUGGAGGCUUCCAAGCAAAUAUAAUUUUGCAUAGACUGCUGUCUCUGAGGAGACUUCUCCAUGCCUGGAGAACUUCAGCUUCACCUACAAGGAGACUCUGGCAGUCCUCAUUCCUUCUCUGAAGCUUCCCAGAUGCAUCCGGGCCCUCUCACACGUUGCAACAUAGAACUGAUAAAGAAUUGAUAGUGGAAUUAAUUGAACAAAUGAAUGAGAAAAAGACAAACAAUCCAAUGGAAAAAUGGGCAAAAGGCUGGAACCUGCACUUCACAAAAGAGGAAACUCAAUAAAAAAUAUGUUCAACCUCAUCAAUAAUCAUGGAAGUGCAGAGUAAUACCUAAUUAACUAAUAUCUAAUGUAAACAGAUACCACUCUGUACUACCAAAAUUUGUACUGACAAAAUUUGAAAGUCUGACAACACCAACUGCUAGUAUGGAUGCAGAGAAAAACCCUUACAGCUGGUGGAAGUAUAAAUUAGCACAACUGCUUUGGAAAACAGUUCUGCACUACUUUUGCUUUGUUGGGCCGCUCCCACAGCAUAUGGAGGUUCCCAGGCUAGGGGUCAAAUCCGAGCUAUAGCUGCCGGCCUACACCACAGCAAUGCGGGAUCUGUGUUGCAUCUGCGAACUACGCCACAGCUCAUGGCAACACCAGAUCCUUAACCCACUGAGUGAGGCCAGGGAUCAAACCAGCAACGUCAUCAUUCCUAGUUGGAUUUGUUUCCCCUGUGCCACAGUGGGAACUCCUGCACUACUUUUUAUAUUUGAACAGUCACAUACCCUAAAACCCAGCAACUGCAUCUCUUGGUACAUAACCUAGAGACAAUCCAGGACAGGCUCCCUGAGAGACUUAUAUUAGAAUGUUCUCACAGCAUUGUUUCUAACAGUCAAAAAUGGGGAAUGACUUGUACUUCCUGCUGUGUUGCAGUGGAUUUAUGAUCCAACUUGUCUCUGUGUGGUACCAGUGUGAUUCCCGGCCUGGUGCAGUGGAUUAAGGAUCCAGCAUUGCUGCAGCUAUGGCGUAGGUGGCAGCUGCAGCUCAGAUUCAAUCCCUGACCCAGGAACUUCCAUAUGCCACAGGUGCAG